Molecule: long non-coding RNA, 598 nt
Organism: Magnolia sinica
Lineage: Eukaryota; Viridiplantae; Streptophyta; Magnoliopsida; Magnoliales; Magnoliaceae
Exons: 2
Source: RefSeq, a predicted model, not a curated record
UGUCCCUACAAAUGCCAUAACAAGUCCGGCAUCUCUCAUUUGCUGUUAUUGAUAUGUAUGCAAAGCUUGUGGUUUUAGUUAUUAAGGUAGUGAUCAUUUUUUUUUCUUUUGACUGAGUUUCAUGCAAUGAAUGGAAACUAAAUUGAUGAAUGUUUCCUUCAUAGUUUGGGUAUCUAUGAAUAGUAUCAGGAGCAAUGGGAUGAUCUGUUGCAACCCCAUGUGUUGUGGGUUUGUUGUAUAUGAAGUUUGAUCAAUAAUGGUAACUCCCUCUCCUUUUUGUUGCAUUGUAAAAAGAAAUGCAUUUGCUUGGUUUGCUGGUUGCAGGUGGUUUAGCUAAAAAUCAUAUCUACUUUGCAAACCAUGUCGAGAUUUUUGGAGGUAAGCAGGCACGGCCAUUGUGGAUGGGGCAUCCUGUAAUUGACAACCCAUGCACAUUACGAUACUAGCCAUGUAUAUAACAUGUUCCCCCAUUUUAACAAUGGAAAUGUGGAAUUUAUUGCUGGAAUUUUUUGUUUGAUUCAAAUCAAACUCCUUCCAUCUCAUGACUUAGUUGGGAUUCUUGUACAGAUGGUGGAAUAUAUACGUGUCUUUUAAUGGA